AACAGCCUUGUGGAUGUAUUCUGCUUUCAACAUUGCAUAUCCACCACACAUGAGAAAGACACUGACUUUCCUUCAGAGGGACAUUAUCAACAUUAGAAGAUGGAGACAAGCACUGUAUGGUUGACUGGAAGUCUGUCAGUCCAGAUGUGAGGAAGACACACAGAGUGGAGCUGGAGCUCAGCAGAUGUGUGAUGCUGUAGAUACUGUGGUCUUGGAAAGAAGGGAUCUUCACAGCUUUCUAUUCAGACGAAGAGUUUGCUGGAUUCUGUUCUAUGGACUGCUACUACAGAAUGAAUGAAUGAAUGAGUGGUUUAUCUAUCUAUCUAUCUAUCUAUCUAUCUAUCUAUCUAUCUAUCUAUCUAUCUUUUUACUUGAAUUGGUGAAUGAAACUGAAAGCUAAAUAAAUGUUUUAGUGGAUAAA
Molecule: long non-coding RNA, 421 nt
Organism: Carassius gibelio (silver crucian carp)
Lineage: Eukaryota; Metazoa; Chordata; Actinopteri; Cypriniformes; Cyprinidae
Exons: 2
Source: RefSeq, a predicted model, not a curated record